GCGUGCGUAGGCGGCUUAUUAAGUCGGAUGUGAAAUCCCCGAGCUUAACUUGGGAAUUGCAUUCGAUACUGGUGAGCUAGAGUAUGGGAGAGGAUGGUAGAAUUCCAGGUGUAGCGGUGAAAUGCGUAGAGAUCUGGAGGAAUACCGAUGGCGAAGGCAGCCAUCUGGCCUAAUACUGACGCUGAGGUACGAAAGCAUGGGGAGCAAACAGGAUUAGAUACCCUGGUAGUCCAUGCCGUAAACGAUGUCUACUAGCCGUUGGGGCCUUUGAGGCUUUAGUGGCGCAGCUAACGCGAUAAGUAGACGCCUGGGG
This 313-nucleotide ribosomal RNA is filed under the name Acinetobacter junii. Its description in RNAcentral is "bacterial SSU rRNA". It matches the Rfam family "Bacterial small subunit ribosomal RNA", at positions 565 to 878 of the family's 1533-position model. Lineage: Bacteria; Pseudomonadati; Pseudomonadota; Gammaproteobacteria; Moraxellales; Moraxellaceae. The record is from RNAcentral.